GAAACCCUUUAUUCCUGCUGCGGGUGCAGGGAGCAUGUUCUUGUCUUCUUCUCCUGCUGCUGGACCUAGGGAAGGGUGCCCUUUUGGAUUGCUUCACAGAAAAUACAGCUGGAAAAAAUGGAAAUCUCCCUUGCCUUAAGAAUCUGUGGUUGAAACAUGAAUAAGACUAGUUGAAGAGAGGCCCAAUAUCAACAAUGGGCAUAGGAUCUAAGAGGUUAAGUGAAAGUGAGAAGAAUACCCAUGCUUGGAAACUUCUUCGUUGCCUGUCAGCAUCUCCUUGGUAACUUCUACUCUUCUGCAGUGGCCUGGGUUCACUAAAGCUAAUGUAACUUGUGUAUCAUCAAGAAGCCAGUAUCUUUUACAGCAAGAUUUGAACUUGGUAUUCCUGACUCUGAGCCCCUUCUCUCUCUCCAUCAC
Molecule: long non-coding RNA, 417 nt
Organism: Dromiciops gliroides (monito del monte)
Lineage: Eukaryota; Metazoa; Chordata; Mammalia; Microbiotheria; Microbiotheriidae
Exons: 3
Source: RefSeq, a predicted model, not a curated record